CCUACGGGUGGCAGCAGUGGGGAAUAUUGCUCAAUGGGCGAAAGCCUGACGCAGCGACGCCGCGUGAGGGAUGAAGGUCCUCGGAUCGGUAACCUCCGUCAGCAGGGAAGAACGGUCACUGUGCUAAUCAGCAGUGAAUUGACGGUACCUGCAAAGGAAGCACCGGCUAACUCCGUGCCAGCAGCCGCGGUAAUACGGAGGGUGCGAGCGUUAAUCGGAAUUACUGGGCGUAAAGCGCUCGUAGGCGGUAUGUCAAGUCAAGGGUGAAAUCCCCGCGCUCAACGUGGGAACUGCCUUUGAAACUGGCAGACUGGAGUGUGUGAGAGGAUAGUGGAAUUCCAGGUGUAGGAGUGAAAUCCGUAGAUAUCUGGAGGAACAUCAGUGGCGAAGGCGACUAUCUGGCACAUAACUGACGCUGAGGAGCGAAAGCGUGGGUAGCAAACAGGAUUAGAUACCCUAGUAGUC
RNAcentral lists this ribosomal RNA (465 nucleotides) under uncultured bacterium. RNAcentral describes it as "partial 16S ribosomal RNA". It matches the Rfam family "Bacterial small subunit ribosomal RNA", at positions 338 to 795 of the family's 1533-position model. The record is from RNAcentral.